Molecule: unclassified non-coding RNA, 128 nt
Filed under: Candidatus Phytoplasma pini
Lineage: Bacteria; Bacillati; Mycoplasmatota; Mollicutes; Acholeplasmatales; Acholeplasmataceae
Source: RNAcentral
GAUCAGGUUGAUAGGCUAGAGGUGUAAGAAGAGUGAUCUUUUCAGCUGACUAGUACUAAUAGAUCCAUUGACUUUAGUUUUUUUCUUUAUCUUUGUUUAUCUAGUUUUGAAAGAAUUUUAGAGAUUCU